Molecule: ribosomal RNA, 497 nt
Filed under: uncultured bacterium
Lineage: Bacteria
Description: partial 16S ribosomal RNA
Rfam family: Bacterial small subunit ribosomal RNA
Source: RNAcentral
GAUGAACGCUGGCGGCGUGCCUAAUACAUGAAAGUCGAGCGAACAGACGAGGAGCUUGCUCCUCUGACGUUAGCGGCGGACGGGUGAGUAACACGUGGAUAACCUACCUAUAAGACUGGGAUAACUUCGGGGAACCGGAGCUAAUACCGGAUAAUAUAUUGAACCGCAUGGUUCAAUAGUGAAAGACGGUUUUGCUGUCACUUAUAGAUGGAUCCGCGCCGCAUUAGCUAGUUGGUAAGGUAACGGCCUACCAAGGCAACGAUGCGUAGCCGACCUGAGAGGGUGAUCGGCCACACUGGAACUGAGACACGGUCCAGACUCCUACGGGAGGCAGCAGUAGGGAAUCUUCCGCAAUGGGCGAAAGCUUGACGGAGCAACGCCGCGUGAGUGAUGAAGGUCUUCGGAUCGUAAAACUCUGUUAUUAGGGAAGAACAAAUGUGUAAGUAACUAUGCACGUCUUGACGGUACCUAAUCAGAAAGCCACGGCUAACUACGUG